UAGAGUUUGAUCAUGGCUCAGAUUGAACGCUGGCGGCAGGCUUAACACAUGCAAGUCGAGCGGAAACGAGAAGUACUUGUACUUUGUCGUCGAGCGGCGGACGGGUGAGUAAUGCUUGGGAAUAUGCCAUAUGGUGGGGGACAACAGUUGGAAACGACUGCUAAUACCGCAUAACGUCUACGGACCAAAGGAGGGGCUCUUCGGACCUUCCGCCAUUUGAUUAACCCAAGUGAGAUUAGCUAGUUGGUAAGGUAAAGGCUUACCAAGGCGGCGAUCUCUAGCUGGUUUGAGAGGAUGAUCAGCCACACUGGGACUGAGACACGGCCCAGACUCCUACGGGAGGCAGCAGUGGGGAAUGUUGCACAAUGGGGGAAACCCUGAUGCAGCCAUGCCGCGUGUGUGAAGAAGGCCUUCGGGUUGUAAAGCACUUUCAGCGAGGAGGAAAGGGAGUAGGUUAAUACCCUGCUUCUGUGACGUUACUCGCAGAAGAAGCACCGGCUAACUUCGUGCCAGCAGCCGCGGUAAUACGAGGGGUGCAAGCGUUAAUCGGAAUUACUGGGCGUAAAGCGUGCGUAGGCGGUUUGUUAAGCAAGAUGUGAAAGCCCCGGGCUCAACCUGGGAACUGCAUUUUGAACUGGCAGGCUAGAGUACUGUAGAGGGGGGUAGAAUUUCA
RNAcentral lists this ribosomal RNA (673 nucleotides) under uncultured Vibrionaceae bacterium. Its description in RNAcentral is "bacterial SSU rRNA". It matches the Rfam family "Bacterial small subunit ribosomal RNA", at positions 1 to 671 of the family's 1533-position model. The record is from RNAcentral. Lineage: Bacteria; Pseudomonadati; Pseudomonadota; Gammaproteobacteria; Vibrionales; Vibrionaceae.